RNAcentral lists this transfer RNA (73 nucleotides) under Daphnia pulex (common water flea). It matches the Rfam family "tRNA". From Rfam's summary of the family: Transfer RNA (tRNA) molecules are approximately 80 nucleotides in length. The record is from Rfam by way of RNAcentral. Lineage: Eukaryota; Metazoa; Arthropoda; Branchiopoda; Diplostraca; Daphniidae.
GGGACUGUAGCUCAGAUGGUAGAGCGCUCGCUUAGCAUGCGAGAAGUACGGGGAUCGAUACCCUGCAUCUCCA